UACGAAGGGGACUAGCGUUGUUCGGAAUUACUGGGCGUAAAGCGCACGUAGGCGGAUUUGUAAGUCAGGGGUGAAAUCCCGGGGCUCGACCUCGGAACUGCCUUUGAUACUGCAAAUCUCGAGUCCGAUAGAGGUGGGUGGAAUUCCUAGUGUAGAGGUGAAAUUCGUAGAUAUUAGGAAGAACACCGGUGGCGAAGGCGGCCCACUGGAUCGGUACUGACGCUGAGGUGCGAAAGCGUGGGGAGCAAACAGG
This 253-nucleotide ribosomal RNA is filed under the name uncultured bacterium. RNAcentral's name for it is "partial 16S ribosomal RNA". It matches the Rfam family "Bacterial small subunit ribosomal RNA", at positions 524 to 776 of the family's 1533-position model. The record is from RNAcentral.